AAAGGAAUUGACGGGGGCCCGCACAAGCAGCGGAGCAUGUGGUUUAAUUCGAAGCAACGCGAAGAACCUUACCUAGACUUGACAUCUCCUGAAUUACUCUUAAUCGAGGAAGUCCCUUCGGGGACAGGAAGACAGGUGGUGCAUGGUUGUCGUCAGCUCGUGUCGUGAGAUGUUGGGUUAAGUCCCGCAACGAGCGCAACCCUUAUUGUUAGUUGCUACCAUUUAGUUGAGCACUCUAGCGAGACUGCCCGGGUUAACCGGGAGGAAGGUGGGGAUGACGUCAAAUCAUCAUGCCCCUUAUGUCUAGGGCUACACACGUGCUACAAUGGCCAGUACAGUGAGAUGCAAACUCGUGAGAGGGAGCUAAACUACAAAACUGGUCUCAGUUCGGAUUGUAGGCUGAAACUCGCCUACAUGAAGCUGGAGUUGCUAGUAAUCGCGAAUCAGCAUGUCGCGGUGAAUACGUUCCCGGGCCUUGUACACACCGCCCGU
Molecule: ribosomal RNA, 492 nt
Filed under: uncultured bacterium
Lineage: Bacteria
Description: bacterial SSU rRNA
Rfam family: Bacterial small subunit ribosomal RNA
Source: RNAcentral